This 108-nucleotide ribosomal RNA is filed under the name uncultured eukaryote. RNAcentral's name for it is "partial small subunit ribosomal RNA". It matches the Rfam family "Bacterial small subunit ribosomal RNA", at positions 1419 to 1525 of the family's 1533-position model. The record is from RNAcentral.
ACCAGAAGUCACUGUAGCUAACCGCAAGGGGGCAGGUGCCGAAGGAGGGGUUGGUGAUUGGGGUGAAGUCGUAACAAGGUAGCCGUAGGUGAACCUGCAGAAGGAUCA